GAGACUUUUGACAUCUGAGUGCUCCUGAC
RNAcentral lists this non-coding RNA (29 nucleotides) under Rattus norvegicus (Norway rat). Lineage: Eukaryota; Metazoa; Chordata; Mammalia; Rodentia; Muridae. The record is from RNAcentral.